Molecule: ribosomal RNA, 459 nt
Filed under: Triticum aestivum (bread wheat)
Lineage: Eukaryota; Viridiplantae; Streptophyta; Magnoliopsida; Poales; Poaceae
Description: partial small subunit ribosomal RNA
Source: RNAcentral
AUGGGCACGUCGAUCUUUCUGGUGGUGGUCGGGAAGAAACUGCAAAACGAUUUCCUCUUCGUCCACGCCCAGAAACGCAUGAAUCUUCAGUGGACCGCGUACGUGGCUGGCUGGCCCGACCGAUCGGCCGAUCCGCGCGGCAUUUAUUGCGGAAAGAGAUGGAUGGAUAAUCAGAUGGGUGCAUGCAUUAAGUCCCAGCUCAUCCGUCACAUCCACGGUGGGGCAGACGUGCUCAUCCUGAUGGAUGUGCUCCGGCCCAAGCCAGCAGCCACCAAGCGAUUUGGCCUUUUACAAAAGGCGGAGAUAUAUGGGAUACAGAUAGAGAUUUCCGAAAGGAUUGUCGAGAUCAUGCUUGUUGAGAUCGAUUCUUUUCGGCCAGAGACGUGUCCGCUUGUUUCAUCAGAGUUCAUGAAAAUGAAACAGCAGCAGUAUACAUAUGUUGUGUUCUUUUGUCGAUAA